UGCUAAGGUAGCAUAAUAACCCGCCUUUUAAUUGAAGGAUAGCAUGAAAGGAACCACGACUCAUAAAUUUUCUAAGAGCCACUCAAUUAACUUCACCUAAAAGUAAAAAGGCUUUUAUAUAAAAGAAGGACAACAAGACCCUGACGAGCUUCCAUUAUUCAGCUGGGGCAGCUUACAAAUAAAACCUUAGUAUGAAUCUAGAUAACGACCCAAUCAAUAUUGAUCACAAGUCAAGCUACCGCAGGGAUAACAGCGCAAUAGGAUUCCAGAGCCCUUAUCCAAAAUCCCGCUUACGACCUCGAUGUUGAAUUAAUUAAGCUAUAUUAAGCAAAAAAUAUACAAGCAGGUCUGUUCGACCUAUAAACAAUUACAUGAUUUGAGUUCAGACCGGCGCAAGCCAGGUCAGCUUAUAUCCUCUAUCACUUCAAUAUUAGUACGAAAGGACCAUAUAAAUAAUAAGA
RNAcentral lists this ribosomal RNA (461 nucleotides) under Sicarius rupestris. RNAcentral describes it as "partial 16S ribosomal RNA". It matches the Rfam family "Bacterial large subunit ribosomal RNA", at positions 1949 to 2708 of the family's 2925-position model. The record is from RNAcentral. Lineage: Eukaryota; Metazoa; Arthropoda; Arachnida; Araneae; Sicariidae.